Molecule: long non-coding RNA, 776 nt
Organism: Frankliniella occidentalis (western flower thrips)
Lineage: Eukaryota; Metazoa; Arthropoda; Insecta; Thysanoptera; Thripidae
Exons: 3
Source: RefSeq, a predicted model, not a curated record
CGUGUAACACUUAAAUUUAGAAAUCUCGGCUUGGCAGCAGUGCGUGUGGUAUGGCGGCAUUCUCAUCUCAGCUGGUGUUUCGUAUGUGCAAGGUGCAAGUGAUAGAAAAACGUUGCAUGAAUGAAGGUUCGUCGGUGACUGCGCCCGAGAGAAACGCUCACUCUCUUGCCUGCGGCGGGCGGAUCGCCGCGCGGUGCGCCGCGAUAUACCGGAGGCGAGGGGAGCAGCAGGCAAACUGCGUGGGGCGGAUGGCGUCGGUAUUUGCCUUCAUCUGACGGAUUUGAAAAUCGCGGGGCGGGCGGGCGCAGGAGCCUUCCAGAGCAGCAUCGGUGGACCAUUAUCAUCUUAUCAGCGGUGGCAGCCGCCCAGCCUGCUCCUCUGGGUCCACGACAGGAUGAAUAAAACAACAAGAGCGGGACGCACUUCAGUCCCCUACGCAACGGCUGCAGCACGGAUUCCUCAGCGAAAAGCAGUGGUAGCAAAGUGUCGCCCCUCCGAGGGUGGGCCUGGCCCAGCGGUGCGCCCGUGAGGCAAUAACUAAACCGUCGCAACUCUCGCGCUCUCCCCUCCCAGUUGCGGCGCGGGUCCUCUCUUCUCUUGCUCAUCCAGCAGUGCGCGCUUGCACUACUACUGCUCUAGCCCUGCUCUCUUCCUCCUCCAAGACGCGCCGGCGGGCGGCGGCCUUGUUUAGAUAGCAUCGCGGGGACAAACAAAGAUGGCGCCUAAUGCACUUGCGAUGUUCGACCCCACAAGAAGUAGUCGCCGCGUGUGCAGCG